AUUGAACGCUGGCGGCAUGCCUAACACAUGCAAGUCGAACGGAGGUAGGGGGCAACUCUACUUCAGUGGCGGACGGGUGAGGAAUGCGUCGGAAUCUACCCUAUGGUGGGGGGAUAACACAGGGAAACUUGUGCUAAUACCGCAUGAUGUCGAGAGACCAAAGCAGGGGACCGCAAGGCCUUGCGCGAUAGGAUGAGCCGACGCCCGAUUAGCUAGUUGGUAGGGUAAUGGCCUACCAAGGCGACGAUCGGUAGCUGGUCUGAGAGGAUGAUCAGCCACACUGGGACUGAGACACGGCCCAGACUCCUACGGGAGGCAGCAGUGGGGAAUAUUGGACAAUGGGCGCAAGCCUGAUCCAGCAAUGCCGCGUGUGUGAAGAAGGCCUGCGGUUGUAAAGCACUUUUGUUCGGAAGAAUCAUGCCGGCUAAUACCUGG
Molecule: ribosomal RNA, 435 nt
Filed under: uncultured bacterium
Lineage: Bacteria
Description: bacterial SSU rRNA
Rfam family: Bacterial small subunit ribosomal RNA
Source: RNAcentral